This 455-nucleotide ribosomal RNA is filed under the name uncultured bacterium. RNAcentral's name for it is "bacterial SSU rRNA". It matches the Rfam family "Bacterial small subunit ribosomal RNA", at positions 340 to 786 of the family's 1533-position model. The record is from RNAcentral.
UACGGGAGGCAGCAGUGGGGAAUAUUGCACAAUGGGCGAAAGCCUGAUGCAGCUAUGCCGCGUGUAUGAAGAAGGCCUUAGGGUUGUAAAGUACUUUCAUCGGGGAGGAAAAACAAAACUAAUAAUUUUAUUUCUUGACGUUACUCGAAAAAGAAGCACCGGCUAACUCCGUGCCAGCAGCCGCGGUAAUACGGAGGGUGCUAGCGUUAAUCAGAAUUACUGGGCGUAAAGAGCACGUAGGUGGUUUUUUUAAGUUCAGAUGUGAAAUCCCUGGGCUUAACCUGGAACUGCAUUUUGAAACUGAAAUACUAGAGUAUCGUAGAGGGAGGUAGAAUUCUAGGUGUAGCGGUGAAAUGCGUAGAUAUCUGGAGGAAUACCUGUGGCGAAAGCGGCCUCCUAAACGAAUACUGACACUGAGGUGCGAAAGCGUGGGGAGCAAACAGGGAUUAGAUACC